UACGGAGGAUGCAAGUGUUAUCCGGAAUCACUGGGCGUAAAGCGCGCGUAGGCGGCUUGUUAAGCUAGAUGUGAAAUCCCCGGGCUCAACCUGGGAACUGCAUUCGAAACUGGCAGGCUAGAGUAUAGAAGAGGCAAGUGGAAUUCCGGGUGUAGCGGUGAAAUGCGUAGAUAUCAGAAGGAACACCAAUGGCGAAGGCAGCUUACUGGACAACAACUGACGCUGAGGCACGAAAGCGUGGGUAGCGAAAGGG
RNAcentral lists this ribosomal RNA (253 nucleotides) under uncultured bacterium. RNAcentral describes it as "partial 16S ribosomal RNA". It matches the Rfam family "Bacterial small subunit ribosomal RNA", at positions 524 to 776 of the family's 1533-position model. The record is from RNAcentral.